GUCUGUUUGGAGAUAUGAACAGUCUAGUCUGCCCACUGAUAAAAUGAAUUUAAAGGGCCGCGGUAUUUUGACCGUGCAAAGGUAGCAUAAUCAUUAGUUUUUUAAUUGGAAUCUCGUAUGAAUGGCUGGACAAAAGAAAAUCUGUCUCUAUAAUAAUUAUUGAAUUUAACUUUUAAGUGAAAAGGCUUAAAUGAGUUAAAAAGACGAUAAGACCCUAUAAAGCUUGAUACUAACUGAGUAUUAUAUUAAAUUGUUAAAAUUAUAAAAGUAUAUUACGUAGUUUUUGUUUUAUUGGGGCGAUAGAGGUAAAAUUUUUAGUAACUGCUUAAAUUUUAUGACAAAAAUAAAUGAGUAAAUUUUAGAAAAGAUCCUAAGAUGGAGAUUACAAGGUUAAGUUACUUUAGGGAUAACAGCGUAAUUUUUUUUGAGAGUUCAUAUCGACAAAAAAGUUUGCGACCUCGAUGUUGAAUUAAAAUUUCUUUACAAUUGUAGCAGUUGUAAGAGAAGGUCUGUUCGACCUUUAAAUUUUU
RNAcentral lists this ribosomal RNA (530 nucleotides) under Metopograpsus latifrons. RNAcentral's name for it is "partial 16S ribosomal RNA". It matches the Rfam family "Bacterial large subunit ribosomal RNA", at positions 1831 to 2597 of the family's 2925-position model. Lineage: Eukaryota; Metazoa; Arthropoda; Malacostraca; Decapoda; Grapsidae. The record is from RNAcentral.